Molecule: ribosomal RNA, 492 nt
Filed under: uncultured bacterium
Lineage: Bacteria
Description: partial 16S ribosomal RNA
Rfam family: Bacterial small subunit ribosomal RNA
Source: RNAcentral
AGUGAACGCUGGCGGUAGGCCUAACACAUGCAAGUCGAACGGCAGCACAGUAAGAGCUUGCUCUUACGGGUGGCGAGUGGCGGACGGGUGAGGAAUACAGCGGAAUCUACUUUUUCGUGGGGGAUAACGUAGGGAAACUUACGCGAAUACCGCAUACGACCUACGGGUGAAAGCAGGGGAUCUUCGGACCUUGCGCGAUUGAAUGAGCCGAUGUCGGAUUAGCUAGUUGGCGGGGUAAAGGCCCACCAAGGCGACGAUCCGUAGCUGGUCUGAGAGGAUGAUCAGCCACACUGGAACUGAGACACGGUCCAGACUCCUACGGGAGGCAGCCGUGGGGAACAUUGGACAAUGGGCGCAAGCCUGAUCCAGCCAUACCGCGUGGGUGAAGAAGGCCUUCGGGUUGUAAAGCCCUUUUGUUGGGAAAGAAAAGCAGCAGGUUAAUACCCCGCUGUUCUGACGGUACCCAAAGAAUAAGCACCGGCUAACUUCGUG